This 253-nucleotide ribosomal RNA is filed under the name uncultured bacterium. Its description in RNAcentral is "partial 16S ribosomal RNA". It matches the Rfam family "Bacterial small subunit ribosomal RNA", at positions 524 to 776 of the family's 1533-position model. The record is from RNAcentral.
UACGUAGGGCGCAAGCGUUGUCCGGAAUUAUUGGGCGUAAAGAGCUCGUAGGCGGUCUGUCGCGUCGGCUGUGAAAACCCGAGGCUCAACCUCGGGCCUGCAGUCGAUACGGGCAGACUAGAGUGCUGUAGGGGAGACUGGAAUUCCUGGUGUAGCGGUGAAAUGCGCAGAUAUCAGGAGGAACACCGGUGGCAAAGGCGGGUCUCUGGGCAGUAACUGACGCUGAGGCACGAAAGCCAGGGGAGCAAACGGG